This is a non-coding RNA of Phasianus colchicus (ring-necked pheasant), 5470 nucleotides long. NCBI's taxonomy places the organism in Eukaryota, Metazoa, Chordata, Aves, Galliformes, Phasianidae. The record is from RefSeq and is a predicted model, not a curated record.
CACGAGGGAAGGGUCUUAUCUGGAGAUUCUGCUUCUGGAGUACUUGUUGGGCCCUGAUUCUUGGGACGGAGAAGUCCAAAAUGCCAAAAGCAAGCAGAAAUCCCUUUGUAUUGAAGUCCUGCCUGAGUCUGGUGAAGUUUCUCAUGUGGAUGGGACCCGUGCUCUGUCCCUUAGUGUGGGUGACAACGUGCGACCACCAGGAAGGCUGCGUCCUGCUCUACCCCUGUCCGUGCCAGGAGAGUUGGAACAGCCCAGAACUGUGUGCGAGAUUAGGAAAGGUGUGCGCUAAUUAAUGGGAGUGCUGCGCUGCCCCUCGGCUGCACCCGCACAUGUGGAUGUGGCACUUGGUGUGUCCCCUCCCUGUCUGUGCCCACACUGACAAAAGGACUGAGCUGUGACCACGCUACGUUCCUAUGAGCAGCCCGAAGGGACAGCAUGAGGAAAUCGACGUACUCAGGUGAGCUGUGGUUCUCUCCUCUCUCGGCUCUCUCCUUUUGUGUCUGGACUGGGAAAAGAAAAAGGUUUCAAAACAGAAGUACAACUUGAAUCAGCCCCUCUCCCUCCGACUGGUUCUGUGGUGGAGAAUGGAAUGAGUUUGCUGUGUAUAAACAGAACCUGCUGACUGAUGGAAAAGGUUUAAAGAGUAGAACAAAUCCAGGGUGGCAGCUUGUGCCAGCCUUGGUGGCAUGCAGCUUGUUUGGAGGACACCUUUCCCAGCACAGGACAGACUCGGUGCUGAGCUGCAGUUUGGAAUUAAAACAGAAUGGUGGCACUGCUUGUGACACCUUCAGGGCAAACCCCCAUGUAGGAGAGCUGGGGCCCAAACGCUGUGCAGUUCUCUCCCUGCUCCCUGUUCCAGCUUUGCAGCCUUGUCCUGCAGGGUGAGGGCUCUGUGCCUUUGGCUUCUGCAGGCUCAGUCAGGUUCCUUCCUCCCUGGCUGCUUGGGAGCAGGUAACCACAGCUGACAGCUUUUCUCUAAGCUUCUUCUGAAACUUUGCUGGCAGACUGAGAGAUGGCUGCUGCAUGAUGGUGUGAAUCCAUGCCCACCAGUGGCUCCUCCAGGUGCAGGAUAUGGCUGUGCUCUUCAGCUCCAGCUUCCUGCCCGUGGCUGCUCUGUAGGUCUGCUUCUGUCCUGGCUUCAUCUAGGUGACUUUGGGGACACAGUCCAUGCUGGCCUCUGUCCUGAGUCAUGUGUCUGGGCAGCCUCUGUGCUGAGAGCCCCUCCAGCCAUGCAGCAGCUGGGAGGGCUCAAUGGGACCUGGUGGUUUUCUGUGCUCAGAGCAUCCCCCCCGUGAUGCAGCCUGGUUGCUGCUAAAUGGAUCAGGGACAUCUCCCUUGUGUAUAUUUCUCUUAUUAGAAUCACUGAAUGGACUGUCAGGGAGGUUUUGUUAGGGAGUGUAUGCCAAGAACAACAGAAGACUUUACAACACGUUAACAACAGUGUUCAUUGAUUACAGUUGGUAUUAAUGGAAUUGCAUGUAGGGAAGCCUGUUGCUGGCACUUACAUCCUAAAGUGCAUGUAGUGGCUAAGAGGCCCUGGAGGGGGGUAACUGUGGGCUCUAAGGACCUGAAAUUAAGGCUCCCUGCAGAAGGGGCUGCAUGAUCCUGAAGCAUUCUGUUUGCUUUGGGCUGACUGUUGGGGUGAAGCAGUGGCCCUGCAAAGCUCCUGAUGUGAGUGAUGCAUCUCUGAUCAACGUUUGCCUCCAUGUCAGUACAGUGUUGUAAAAUUAAGAUCAAUCAACACCUGAUCAAUACCUUUUAAUUCAAAAGGGACUACUGCAGUUAUAUUUUGGAAAAACUGUUUGUGUGGGGUUUUGACUGGUAUGUAGCAGCCACUUAUGGAAAAAAGAAGGGAAGAAUUGCAUCAUUGCACUGUGGCCACCACUAAUCUCUGGAAAAAGCACACGCAGCCCUUGUGAGUGCUAUGAAGGCUCUGCCUUCAGUAGUGGUGAACUGGGCUCUCACCUCUCCUGACUCAUAGGGAAGGAAGGUCCUGGGUGAGUCAUUUACCAUGCUGGGAAGGCCUUGGAGUGCAGCCAGCAGCGAGCUGGGCAGAGGCAGUCCUGAUUGUCCUGUACAUCUGAUGGGUUCGUACAUGGGGGAUCAGCAGUGGGUGACUUCCUUCAGGAAAUUCUGUUGGAAUCCAAACUACUUCUCUAAGAGAUGAGCGUAAAGUGCUGCUGAACCUCUAGGCAUCCUACUGAUAGAGAGAUCCUGGAGAUGAAGACAAGUAACUAAUCAGUUAAAGGCUGCACUGCUGACAGCCCUUGACAGGCUGGAAAUAGUGUUUUGCUUUUUGCCAAAGCUGGGAUAAUUAGCUGCUUCUGAACCCUUUUUGAGGUUAGGGAGCACUUCUUUCACAUCUUCCAUAUCUUCCGAUUUAAUACAGAACCAUAGAAUGGUUUGAAAUGGAAGAGCCCCUUAAAGGCCAUGUGGUCCAACCUCCCUGCAAUGAGCAGGGACACCCACAGUUUGAGCAGGAGCUCUGAGCCCCAUUCAGCCUGACCUUGGGUGUCUGCAGGGAUGGAGCACCACCACCUCUCUGUGCAAAGUAUGGUGGACCAGGUGCCACUGAGCCCAACUGGAAGGCUUCACUUCUCAGGGCUGAAGCUCCAGCUCUGCCCUCUGUUAGCACAUCAUCAUUCUGUUACCAGGUUGUUCCUCACUCCACGCAAGUUUUCUGAAGACCUUCAGAGGAAAUGAUUACCCAUCUGCUACAACUUUUCAGCACAUGUCACAUAGGUGUGGUUGGGCUGCAGCUUGCCUGCAGAUGCUUUACCUCUUACUGGUAAAGGGAGGUUCAGACCUUUGUGCCAUAGCUGCAGGCAUUGCAGCUCAGCCCAGCAGUGCUGUUUUCCUGGAAAUUCCUGGAAGGAGGAGGGCAAAAAGGAGGUUUUACACAGCAAGUUAAAACUGAGAAAUAACCACCGUUGAAUGAACUCCUAAAUGCUUUCUUCUGCAAUGUCUAUUGUUUCAGAUCCUUCUCCAGAGGAGAAACACAAGGGUUGAAACACAGGGGUUAAAAGGGUUUUUGGAUUCUCAUUUUCCAUUUCUUAAAUACGAUAACAAUGCCAGAGAAGAAACAGUCAGGAUUCAUGACAAAUGAUUUUAUAGUUGUUUUCAAGGAUGAUACAAAUUGCUUUGGCCGAGGACUGCUUGCAGUUUCAGGUUUGUAAGUUGUUGGCACGCACUGAAAUAGGGAUUACAUUAAUUAGGGCACCUCCAGAGCCUUCUCGCGUGGUUGUGUCUCACCUCAGCUAUAGAAUCCUCAUGAAGUGCUAAGGCACGUGUAGAGAGAUGACUCCUCAUAUUGAGCUAGGCUUAUAGGGAAGAAACUGAAGAGUAUGAGAAUGGUGACCCGAUCAUUGCUUUAGGGUUAGGAUCUUUUUCAGGCUGGUACCCACUGAGAGAGGCAUAAUUCCAUCAGUGGUUUUUAACCCCACUGUUUUAAAAGCUGUGAGGUGUGGCAGUUGAUGACAGCUUUUGCAGAGUCCUGUUGUUCUCCCUGGGCUGGACCUGCUGUCCCCUGAGCUAUCUGGAACUCUGUCAGGCUGACCCAUGGGGGAACAUGCAGGGUUGUUCAGGCAGUUUUUCCUUAGCUCACCAGUAAAACAUCGAGAGGAAAAAGAUAAGGUUUGGAUCCAACAAAAGCAUUCGUUUAAUUAAAAUUGUCAUUUUUAACAGAAACAUGAAAUAUUUUGUUUUGAGGUAUGGAAAAAUAAAAAAGCCAUUUCCUUGAGCUUAACUACAGAUAGCUCCUGAUCCUCAAAACCUGCAUUGCUGGGCCAAGAAACUGUCAUUAAAAUAAAUGAUUGUCUCAAGGAUUCCCGGUCAGCCACAGGAACUGGAUCCUUCAAACUUAGUAUUCAAAGCCUGAAUUCAGUGCAAGUGUUCCUCUACCAGUUCAGAGGCUCUCCCUGAGGUUCUGCAAGCUCUGUGGUACUUGGUUUUGUGAGGGCAUUGUGAUACCUUGUGUUACUGAAGUAACAGGAAGGAAAAUAAGGAUUACAGAAUGAACUUGUUUAUUGAUAACCCAAGAAUAGCAGGAGGCUGGUGCACAAAAGGCUUUGUACCCUAUUUUCAGGAUGCAGGUUGGCUUGCUCAGCUGCAUGGAUUAGAAGCCAUAAAUGUGACCCGCAUGAAAGCUAGUUGAUAUCCAAUGGCCAUGGCCUCCCAUCCUUAUAUAAAUCCCCAAACAAAAGAGAAAACAGGCACGAUCCAGUUUCUGUAUGGCAAACACUUGCUUAUUGUUUCAGGAACUGCAUCACCAAGUAGUCCAUGCCUCACGCUCACAUUUUCCAACCAGUAAACAACAGCCCUGGUCCCAGUCCUGUUUACACAUUCUGCCUGCUGGAUUUCUUCCCCAGGAUCCUUCACUUAAUUUUUUUGCCACUCAAACCAUCACAUCAUACGAAUGGCUGCACUGUCCCUGCUGAGUCGCUUUGCUGUGUGGCUGUCAUGUUUCUGAUGGCCCCUGAUGCUGAUGUAAUACUGUCAGGGAGGUUCUCCAGCAGCAGUGCCAUGCUGUGGGGGGUGGCAGGAUGGGCAGGACAGGUUGGGUUGGGUGCUUUGCUGCUGUCAGAUCUGGCUGGCAUGUGUGGGCAGUGGUGGAGCGUUGCUUCAGGUAGCAAAACAUCCUCGUGCCUGAUAGGAAAUCUUCCCAUGCCCAAUUGGAGUAAGCAAGGCUGAGAUGUGCCUUGCAGAGUGAGGAAACCUUGCGCUCCCCAAACUCCCCAUCCACUUCAAGCACAACUUGGAUGUUAUCUCUUGCUGGCACUGGGGGUCCCAGCUCUGUCUGUGCCACCUCUUUCCCUACAGCAGCCAUGUGCUGAGAGCAGUGGAGCAGUGUGAGGGAGGUAGUGCUGCUCUGUUGAGUCAGCCUGUUCCCAUGCUGUAGUGGCUUUGCAAUGAUGAUGGCUCAAAGCACUUUUUAAAGAUGUUAUGUUGCAGAGAGGGAAUCAAUGGUGCAUGGGGCAUCUGGAUCCUGCACAAACCCAAAAGAGAUUCCUGGCUUUGUGCUUACAGUGCAAUUUUCACAUUCACGUAUUUGAGAUAACCCCUCCCAGAGCUCAGUGGGGUCCAGACAUCCAGAGAUGCUUCUAGAGCAGAGGACAGCAUUGGUGUGUGAUGGCACAAGGAGGAGGGGAAGGUAACUUUGUCCAAUGGUAGGAAAGUGGCUGAAAGCUGAGCAGAAGGGGCUUGCUGGGAAGUUACUGUUCACCCUUUAACACCAAUCACUGUGUUACAUCAGUCUGAGGUGUGGCACAAACUUCCUCUGUGACAUAAACUUUUAGUUUUGGGGAGGGCAGGUUCAAAUCUGAUGCCCAGAGCAUAAAAUCAUAGAAUCAUUAAGGUUGGAAAGACCACUAAGAUCAUAUAAUCCAACCAUCAACCCAUCCCCACCGUAGCACUAAACCACAUGGCUCAGUGUUGCAUCUGCCCUUUUCUUGAACACCUCCUGUGAUGGUGA